AACAAAUGGUUUACCUGAGAGCACAGAU
RNAcentral lists this non-coding RNA (28 nucleotides) under Cricetulus griseus (Chinese hamster). Lineage: Eukaryota; Metazoa; Chordata; Mammalia; Rodentia; Cricetidae. The record is from RNAcentral.